UUAAGCAUAUCAAUAAGCGGAGGAAAAGAAACCAACAGGGAUUGCCUUAGUAACUGCGAGUGAAGCGGCAAAAGCUCAAAUUUGAAAUCUGUCACUUUUAGUGUCCGAAUUGUAAUUUGUAGAAGCAACUUUGGUCUUGGUCCUUGCAUAUGUUCCUUGGAAUAGGAUAUCAUAGAGGGUGAGAAUCCCGUAUAUGGUGAGGAAUCCUCGACUGUGUAAAGUGCUUUCGAAGAGUCGAGUUGUUUGGGAAUGCAGCUCUAAGUGGGUGGUAAAUUCCAUCUAAAGCUAAAUAUUGGCGAGAGACCGAUAGCGAACAAGUACAGUGAUGGAAAGAUGAAAAGAAGACCGAAAGGUCAGUGAAAAAGGACGUGAAAUUGUUGAAAGGGAAGCGUUUGGGAUCAGUCUUGGAAUUUAGUGAUCAGUCUUCCUUUUGGUUGGUGCACUCACUAUUUUCUAGGCCAACAUCAGUUUUCGCGGUAGGAUAAUGAUCUUGGAAUGUGGCUUUUUCGGAAGUGUUAUAGCCUUGAUUGAUGCUACCUGCUUAGACUGAGGUCUGCGCAUUUUGCUAGGAUGUUGGCAUAAUGAUCUUAAGCGGCCCGUCUG
RNAcentral lists this ribosomal RNA (603 nucleotides) under Babjevia anomala. RNAcentral describes it as "LSU rRNA". It matches the Rfam family "Eukaryotic large subunit ribosomal RNA", at positions 34 to 655 of the family's 3401-position model. Lineage: Eukaryota; Fungi; Ascomycota; Lipomycetes; Lipomycetales; Lipomycetaceae. The record is from RNAcentral.